CGGCAACAGCUCAAAUUUGAAAUCUGGCCCUAGGCCCGAGUUGUAAUUUGCAGAGGAUGCUUUUGGCGCGGUGCCUUCCGAGUGCCCUGGAACAGGACGUCAUAGAGGGUGAGAAUCCCGUAUGUGACUGGAUACCUAUGCUCAUGUGAAGCUCUUUCGAC
RNAcentral lists this ribosomal RNA (161 nucleotides) under Hypocreales sp. Its description in RNAcentral is "partial large subunit ribosomal RNA". Lineage: Eukaryota; Fungi; Ascomycota; Sordariomycetes; Hypocreales. The record is from RNAcentral.